This 220-nucleotide long non-coding RNA is filed under the name Lathyrus oleraceus (garden pea). Its description in RNAcentral is "Pisum sativum (pea) long non-coding RNA (PSAT_LNC006778)". Lineage: Eukaryota; Viridiplantae; Streptophyta; Magnoliopsida; Fabales; Fabaceae. The record is from RNAcentral.
UUUGCCUCCCGUGAGUUGUAGGCGCGUUCUAGCAGCAGUUCGCAUAGUUCGGCAGAAUUUUGCUUCCCCGCAAGUCUCCAUCAAAGUUGUCCCUAACCUCUGUUAACCCUGAUUCUGAGCAGUGUGGUAGUUGUCCUCCGCAGGGUUGUCUCCCAUUUGGUAUGGUUUUCACCUAAAAUUCCCCGCAGAGUUGAUGUUGUAGUUUCCUUAGCAGAUCCUC